UCCCUGGAGGACUAGUGGUUAGGCCUCGGUGCUCUCACCACCACAGCCGGGGUUCGUUUCCCGGCCAGGGAA
This 72-nucleotide transfer RNA is filed under the name Pangasianodon hypophthalmus (striped catfish). RNAcentral describes it as "tRNA-Glu". Lineage: Eukaryota; Metazoa; Chordata; Actinopteri; Siluriformes; Pangasiidae. The record is from RNAcentral.